RNAcentral lists this transfer RNA (71 nucleotides) under Marmota monax (woodchuck). Its description in RNAcentral is "tRNA.Ala". It matches the Rfam family "tRNA". From Rfam's summary of the family: Transfer RNA (tRNA) molecules are approximately 80 nucleotides in length. Their secondary structure includes four short double-helical elements and three loops (D, anti-codon, and T loops). Lineage: Eukaryota; Metazoa; Chordata; Mammalia; Rodentia; Sciuridae. The record is from RNAcentral.
GGGGUUGUAGCUUAGUGGUAGAGUGCUCACCUAGCAUGUGUGAGGUGCUGGGUUUGAAUCUCAGCACCACA